GACGAACGCUGGCGGCGUGCUUAACACAUGCAAGUCGAACGGGCCCGCUCUCUUUUUUGGUGGUGGGUUGAGUGGCGAACGGGUGAGUAUCACGGGAGUAACCUGCCCCCUGCGGCUGGCUAACUGCUUGAAAGGGCGGCUAAUACGGGGUGUGCCGGCUGGUCCGCAUGGGCCUGGGCGGGAUAGGUUCAUCUUCGGGUGUUUCGGGGGUGGGUGGGCUCGCGGCCUAUCAGCUUGUUGGGGGGGUGAUGGCUCACCAAGGCGGUGACGGGUUGACGGACUGGGUGGGUGGGCGGCCAGACUGGGAGUCAGGCACGGCACAGAUACGUGCGGGAGGCAGCAGUGGGGGGUAUUGCAGAGUGGACGGAAGCCUGAGGCAGCGACGGCGCGUGAGGGAUGGAGGCCUUCGGGUUGUGAACCUAUUUCUGCGGGGGGGAAGGUCCGGUCCGUUGCGGCGGGGUUGACGGUAGCCGGAGAUGAAGCGCCGGCUAACUACGUG
Molecule: ribosomal RNA, 499 nt
Filed under: uncultured bacterium
Lineage: Bacteria
Description: partial 16S ribosomal RNA
Rfam family: Bacterial small subunit ribosomal RNA
Source: RNAcentral